Molecule: ribosomal RNA, 504 nt
Filed under: uncultured bacterium
Lineage: Bacteria
Description: partial 16S ribosomal RNA
Rfam family: Bacterial small subunit ribosomal RNA
Source: RNAcentral
AUUGAACGCUGGCGGCAGGCCUAACACAUGCAAGUCGAACGGUAGCACAGAGAGCUUGCUCUCGGGUGACGAGUGGCGGACGGGUGAGUAAUGUCUGGGAAACUGCCCGAUGGAGGGGGAUAUCUACUGGAAACGGCAGCUAAUACCGCAUAACGUCGCAAGACCAAAGUGGGGGACCUUCGGGCCUCACACCAUCGGAUGUGCCCAGAUGGGAUUAGCUAGUAGGUGGGGUAAUGGCUCACCUAGGCGACGAUCCCUAGCUGGUCUGAGAGGAUGACCAGCCACACUGGAACUGAGACACGGUCCAGACGCCGACGGGAGGCAGCAGUGGGGAAUAUUGCACAAUGGGCGCAAGCCUGAUGCAGCCAUGCCGCGUGUAUUAAGAAGGCCUUCGGGUUGUAAAGUACUUUCAGCGGGGAGGAAGGCGGUGAAGUUAAUAACUUCACCGAUUGACGUUACCCGCAGAAGAAGCACCGGCUAACUCCGUGCCAGCCGCCGCAGUAA